RNAcentral lists this ribosomal RNA (382 nucleotides) under Bartonella sp. 1021. Its description in RNAcentral is "bacterial SSU rRNA". It matches the Rfam family "Bacterial small subunit ribosomal RNA", at positions 1117 to 1498 of the family's 1533-position model. Lineage: Bacteria; Pseudomonadati; Pseudomonadota; Alphaproteobacteria; Hyphomicrobiales; Bartonellaceae. The record is from RNAcentral.
GCCAUCAUUCAGUAGGGCACUCUAGAGGGACUGCCGGUGAUAAGCCGAGAGGAAGGUGGGGAUGACUUCAAUUCCUCAUGGCCCUUACGGGCUGGGCUACACACUUGCUACAAUGGUGGUGACAAUGGGCAGCAAAACCCCAAGGCCGACCUAAUCUCAAAAAGCCAUCUCAGUUCGGAUUGCACUCUGCAACUCGAGUGCAUGAAGUUGGAAUCGCUAGUAAUCGUGGAUCACCAUGCCACGGUGAAUACGUUCCCGGGCCUUGUACACACCGCCCGUCACACCAUGGGAGUUGGUUUUACCCGAAGGUGGUGCGCUAACCCGCAAGGGAGGCAGCCAACCACGGUGGGGUCAGCGACUGGGGUGAAUUCGUAACAAGGUA